CAGCAGCCGCGGGAACACGAAGGGGGCUAGCGUUGCUCAGAAUGACUGGGCGUAAAGGGCGCGUAGGCGGUGCGGAUAGUCAGAUGUGAAAUUCCUGGGCUUAACCUGGGGGCUGCAUUUGAUACGUCCGCGCUUGAGUGUGGAAGAGGGUCGUGGAAUUCCCAGUGUAGAGGUGAAAUUCGUAGAUAUUGGGAAGAACACCGGUGGCGAAGGCGGCGACCUGGUCCAUAACUGACGCUGAGGCGCGAAAGCGUGGGGAGCAAACAGGAUUAGAUACCCCCGUAGUCCCUGUCUCUUAUAC
RNAcentral lists this ribosomal RNA (301 nucleotides) under uncultured bacterium. RNAcentral's name for it is "partial 16S ribosomal RNA". It matches the Rfam family "Bacterial small subunit ribosomal RNA", at positions 509 to 807 of the family's 1533-position model. The record is from RNAcentral.